Non-coding RNA from Acanthosepion pharaonis, 109 nucleotides. Lineage: Eukaryota; Metazoa; Mollusca; Cephalopoda; Sepiida; Sepiidae. The record is from the annotation of a GenBank genome assembly.
AGCCACAUCACAUUGAAACACCAUUUCCCGUAUGAUCACUGAAGUUAAACAACAUUGAGCCUGGUCAGUACAUAGAUGGGUGACCGCUUGGGAAUACCAGAUGUUGUAA